UACGUAGGGUGCAAGCGUUAAUCGGAAUUACUGGGCGUAAAGCGUACGCAGGCGGCUUGAUAAGACAGGUGUGAAAUCCCCGGGCUUAACCUGGGAACUGCAUUUGUGACUGUCAGGCUAGAGUUUGUCAGAGGGGGGUGGAAUUCCACGUGUAGCAGUGAAAUGCGUAGAGAUGUGGAGGAACACCGAUGGCGAAGGCAGCCCCCUGGGAUGAAACUGACGCUCAUGUACGAAAGCGUGGGGAGCAAACAGG
Molecule: ribosomal RNA, 253 nt
Filed under: uncultured bacterium
Lineage: Bacteria
Description: partial 16S ribosomal RNA
Rfam family: Bacterial small subunit ribosomal RNA
Source: RNAcentral